AGAGUCAACAUUUCAACUUUCUUUUAACAGACAGUCACAACUAUGAGGAUUGUUGAAGCUCCAGCAUUGCCGUGUUUAUGCCCAGUAAUUGACUAAGGACAGCUCCAAUGCUAAAUUACUGACAUCAGUUUCAAGAAAAAUUUCUUCACGUCAUCGAAAAAGCCAUAAUAUAGUAACAACUCUGAUCAACAAAGUAGAAG
This is a long non-coding RNA of Magallana angulata, 200 nucleotides long. RefSeq lists it as uncharacterized. NCBI's taxonomy places the organism in Eukaryota, Metazoa, Mollusca, Bivalvia, Ostreida, Ostreidae. The record is from RefSeq and is a predicted model, not a curated record. The transcript has 3 exons.